CAAAGUAAAGCUUGAUAGCAAUUCAUUUACAUUGAAUAGAUUUUAAAUUUGAUUUUAAAUAUUUUGA
RNAcentral lists this transfer RNA (67 nucleotides) under Brachycybe lecontii. RNAcentral describes it as "tRNA-Val". Lineage: Eukaryota; Metazoa; Arthropoda; Diplopoda; Playtdesmida; Andrognathidae. The record is from RNAcentral.